CAGGUUAGAACACUCGAGGCUUUCCUGGAAUGACACCAGAGCCCAAGUCCUCUCCGGGGAUGGGCAGGCACCUGCCCAGGGUCCCUCUCCCACUGUUGCCUGGGCACAAUCUGCGUGGGAGCCGAGCUCCCGCCAUCCAUGGAGAUCACUGCAGCCUCCAGUGCACUGAGAUUUGAUUUUCCAGAGUCUGGAUUCCAGCUCUCAGGAAGGCUGAAUUGGUGCGGCUCCCCACACUACCAUUUUCCAGGACUGAAGGCCCCGCUCCUAAGGGCAAGUCGGCUAUAAGCGCCUGUGACCCAGUCAUGUUCCAAAGGUCCUCCUGAGGCCCGCCAUGCCUCUUGCAGGAGCUCCAGGAACCAGGCUGUGAAGGUCUUCUUGUGAGGCAGUGUGCUUGCGUUGCACAACAGAGGCCGCUCAGGAGGUACCAGGAGCCAAGGUGAGGUGCGUGACCUGAACAUGUUCCGAGGGCCCUGUCCCAGAGCAAGGACCUCGUAGUCCCCAGGCUCCACAUGCCGUACUGUCUGCCCUAGAGCCUGUCCUCUGUGGUUCAACUGCAGCCAGAGCAGCACCCUC
RNAcentral lists this long non-coding RNA (573 nucleotides) under Heterocephalus glaber (naked mole-rat). Its description in RNAcentral is "lncRNA (ENSHGLG00000047715.1)". Lineage: Eukaryota; Metazoa; Chordata; Mammalia; Rodentia; Bathyergidae. The record is from RNAcentral.